RNAcentral lists this ribosomal RNA (399 nucleotides) under Streptomyces sp. ATCC 10246. RNAcentral's name for it is "bacterial SSU rRNA". It matches the Rfam family "Bacterial small subunit ribosomal RNA", at positions 39 to 441 of the family's 1533-position model. Lineage: Bacteria; Bacillati; Actinomycetota; Actinomycetes; Kitasatosporales; Streptomycetaceae. The record is from RNAcentral.
GCGGCGUGCNUAACACAUGCAAGUCGAACGAUGAACCGCUUUCGGGCGGGGAUUAGUGGCGAACGGGUGAGUAACACGUGGGCAAUCUGCCCUGCACUCUGGGACAAGCCCUGGAAACGGGGUCUAAUACCGGAUAUGACUGUCCAUCGCAUGGUGGAUGGUGUAAAGCUCCGGCGGUGCAGGAUGAGCCCGCGGCCUAUCAGCUUGUUGGUGAGGUAGUGGCUCACCAAGGCGACGACGGGUAGCCGGCCUGAGAGGGCGACCGGCCACACUGGGACUGAGACACGGCCCAGACUCCUACGGGAGGCAGCAGUGGGGAAUAUUGCACAAUGGGCGAAAGCCUGAUGCAGCGACCCGCGUGAGGGAUGACGGCCUUCGGGUUGUAAACCUCUUUCAGCA